UAAGCGGAGGAAAAGAAACUAACAAGGAUUCCCCUAGUAACGGCGAGUGAAGCGGGAAGAGCUCAAAUUUGAAAUCUGGUAGCCUUCGGUUGCCCGAGUUGUAAUCUAGAGAAGUGUUUUCCGUGCCGGCCCAUGUACAAGUCCCUUGGAACAGGGCGUCAUAGAGGGUGAGAAUCCCGUCCUUGACAUGGACCCCCGGUGCUUUGUGAUACACUUUCAACGAGUCGAGUUGUUUGGGAAUGCAGCUCAAAAUGGGUGGUGAAUUCCAUCUAAAGCUAAAUAUUGGCGAGAGACCGAUAGCGAACAAGUACCGUGAGGGAAAGAUGAAAAGCACUUUGGAAAGAGAGUUAAACAGUACGUGAAAUUGUUGAAAGGGAAACGAUUGAAGUCAGUCAUGCUCUUGGGACUUACCUCCCUUGAGUGGGGUCAACAUCAGUUUUGAUCGAUGGAUAAAGGCACGGGGAAGGUAGCACUCUCGGGUGAACUUAUAGCCUCGCGUCAUAUACAUUGAUUGGGACUGAGGAACGCAGCAUGCCUUAUGGCCGGGAUUCGUCCACGUACAUGCUAGGA
Molecule: ribosomal RNA, 570 nt
Filed under: Cryptococcus sp. M27
Lineage: Eukaryota; Fungi; Basidiomycota; Tremellomycetes; Tremellales; Cryptococcaceae
Also listed under: 1 other name
Description: eukaryotic LSU rRNA
Rfam family: Eukaryotic large subunit ribosomal RNA
Source: RNAcentral